This is an RNA transcript of Arachis ipaensis, 2919 nucleotides long. It is a transcript of the gene named transcription termination factor MTEF18, mitochondrial-like, with no coding region annotated. The record is from RefSeq and is a predicted model, not a curated record. Lineage: Eukaryota; Viridiplantae; Streptophyta; Magnoliopsida; Fabales; Fabaceae.
CUCACAUCACACCAGCCACUGAACUCCCUCCCUGCGAGAGAUGCAAACCCAGAUCCAGGCGGCCAUAGCUCGGUCGCGGCUGAGGAAGCAGCAUUUCCACCGUCGAGUCUCUCCGUCUCGAGCAUUGCCGCGCCGUCCUCUUCUCCAGCCCCCCCUUCGUGGUACUUUAAUUAGGUGUUAAAGUUUCCAUCUAUGACCAGAAUGUAGUAAGACCUUGGGGAGCUUCGCCGCAGAAAACACAAAAUUUGGUAUUGGGCUUAGGUUCAUCGUCCAUCAUCCAUCAUCCAUCAUCUCUCCCUUCACUCUACUUAGUCACUGAUCCACACCAUCUUCGCCGGCGACGGGUCUUCCUGCUUACUUCCCCGUUGACCCUCUCUUUCUCUUUAUCCAUUUAUUUCCCAUUGCCAUUUUGUGCCAAAAUGACGUCGUACCCCCUUAUCAUACAUUUUUUUCUUUUUUCUGUCUCGUAACUCAUAACGAUUCUCGUCAAGCUACAACCUUUAACACUCAAAACGCCUCCGUUUCAAAAACCAUCGAUACCCACUAUGUCCCAUUUCCGGAAACUCCAGUUAACAUACUUCAUCUCCAAAAUUUCCCACACUUGCCUUAAACCCUCGCUAAGCCCUAGAUUCCACAGCGCCAAAUCUGCUCCCCAAUCCGCACUAAAAAACUGUGAUUUCAAGUUCCCCUCGAAGGUCAGAAAGGAAGCACAAGUCGCAUUGCUCGAGUACCUUCAUUCCACAAGGAGCUUGCAGUUCCUUGAUGCAGACAACAUGUGCAAAAACUCGCCCUUUUUCCUCAACGAUAUUCUGAGCAAGGUUCUUCAGAAGAAGAAGAUCGACACUGCUGCCAGCGACGUCAAGAAAUCAAUCUCGCGUUACCUCCGUUACCACCCAAUUAACGAGUUCGAACCAUUCUUCGAGAGUACAGGUUUGAAGCCUUUUGAAUACUUGCACCUUCUUCCAAGGGACAUGAUGUUCAUCAACGAUGACACUGUGUUGAUGGAGAAUUAUCAUACUCUGUGUAACUAUGGUGUUCCCAGGAACAAAAUGGGAAAGAUCUUCAAGGAUGCACCUCAAGUUUUUCGAUAUGAAAGUGGGGUACUGGUGUCCAAGUUUCAGAGUUAUGAAGAGCUUGGUGUGGCUUCUUCAACUUUGGUAAAGGUGAUUUCUUUGAGCCCUAGGAUUUUGGUUGGGGAUGUUGACCUUUAUCUUGUGAAGGUUUUGGAGAAAUUGAAUCGUCUUGUUGGUGAAGAAAAGGGUAGUACUUGGAUUGAGGAGCAGUUGUUGGCUGAGAGUAGUUGUAAUUUUGGGGUUAUGCAUGAGCUCUUGUGCUUGCUUGAGAAGGUUUACAGUGACAAAAAGUUGUUGGGUGAGAUGAUUGGCCAGCACCCUUUUGUUUGUUUUGAGGAUUCUGGAGUUUGGGCAUUGUCCCUCAUUGUGUUCUUGGUGAAAUUAGGGUUGUCCUUGGACCAAAUAGCUAUAAUUUUUGUCAAGUUUCCGCAAAUUGGGGUGUCGAUGUUUCUGUCGAAUUUGCGCAAAUGUUUUACAUUCCUGUCUGAUAUCGAUAUGCAUGCUGCGGAGAUUGGGAAUAUUUUCCAGUCUCAUUCCUUGCUGAUGGGUUCAUUCACUAUUAAGAAAUCUAGUAGUUUGCUCAGUAGCUUGAAUGUUGGCAAGAAAAGGGUCUGUAAGUUAGUGCAGGAUAAUCCGGAAGGGAUGCAGAAUUGGGCUGUGGGGAGGAAAAUUCAGCCUUACCCUGAGGAUAAGGAAAUGAGGGCUCUGAAAACAGAGUUCUUGAAAACAAAGUUCUUGUUGAGCCUUGGAUACGAAGAGAACUCGGAGGGAAUAAAACAGGCUUUUAAGCUGUUUAGAGGUAAGGGAGAUGAGCUUCAGGAGAGAUAUGAUUUUAUUGUUAAUGCUGGCUUGGACGCUAAGGAUGUUCGCGAAAUGAUUAAGGCUUCACCUCAGAUUCUUAAUCAGACCACAGAUAUGAUCAACACGAAAAUUGAGUAUCUUGUGAAUGAAGGAUAUCCUAUAUCAAGUUUAGUCGAUUUCCCAUCUUUUCUUUCCUAUACACUUUGUAGAGUUAAGCUUAGGUUAUCAAUGUAUAAUUGGCUCAGAGACCAUAGAGUUGUUCACCCCAGGCUUGCUUUGAGCACCAUAGUUGCAUGCUCAGAGGAAUUAUUCUUACGGUUGUAUGUAAAUCGGCAUCCAUCUGGCCUUCAAGUUUGGCAGGAUUUGAAGUCCGAAAUUUAUCCUGAGAAUAAUAACAUGAUAUGAUCCCUUCUGGCAAAGCAUGAUCAUGGUUUAAUCUGGAAAUAUGUUUCUCGUUCAGAUAAUUGUGUAGUGCGUUUACAAAACUGUUAAGGAUGCUUGACCUGCACCACCAUAGAUGAUUACCGAUUGCAGAUAUUUCCGACACAACUUGUAGAUGGAAGAAGGUUGGCUAGAUUGGUUUUGUUGUUGAAGCCAUCCUCACCAUGUGGCUUGUAUAUAAGCUUUCCUUCUGAACCCAGCUACACUGCAGGCCAGUCUUCGACGGUUAAAGUUUCUAACUGAAUAUGUUUCUUGAGAAUGAAGCAGACAGGGUGAGGGUGAGAGACUGUACUGUCUGAAGAAUUGAAGCAAGACAAGCACGUGUAUUGGGUUGAAGGUAUUGUUCGUGUGGUUGCUGAUUGUUUACCCCAAAAAUUGGGUGAAAUAGUUUCAAAAUUUAAGAAAAGUAGUCAUAUGACCUAUUGUUGGUAGUUGCUAACAAUUUCUUGUAAUAAGUUCCAAUGAUUUAUGGGAACUCCUAGAAGAGUUGGAGGGCCACUUUAAUUUUGAUUUUAUAUGAUUCAUCAUUAAAUUGAGAUGUGAACUCAUCAUAUUGGACCACAUUGAUCCAAAAUCUAUGCAUACCACCACCUUCACCAUUAUC